RNAcentral lists this transfer RNA (85 nucleotides) under Chloroflexota bacterium. RNAcentral's name for it is "Chloroflexi bacterium (anaerobic digester metagenome) tRNA-Ser". It matches the Rfam family "tRNA". Rfam says of the family: Transfer RNA (tRNA) molecules are approximately 80 nucleotides in length. Their secondary structure includes four short double-helical elements and three loops (D, anti-codon, and T loops). The record is from RNAcentral. Lineage: Bacteria; Bacillati; Chloroflexota.
GGAUGGGUGGCAGAGUGGACUAUUGCGCACGCCUGGAGAGCGUGUGGGGCGAAAGCCCUCGUGGGUUCGAAUCCCACCCCAUCCG